UACGGGGGGGGCAAGCGUUGUUCGGAAUUACUGGGCGUAAAGGGCGCGUAGGCGGCCAUCUAAGUCAGACGUGAAAUCCCUCGGCUCAACCGAGGAACUGCGUCUGAUACUGGAAGGCUUGAAUCCGGGAGAGGGAUGUGGAAUUCCAGGUGUAGCGGUGAAAUGCGUAGAUAUCUGGAGGAACACCGGUGGCGAAGGCGGGUCUCUGGGCCGAUACUGACGCUGAGGAGCGAAAGCGUGGGGAGCAAACAGG
RNAcentral lists this ribosomal RNA (253 nucleotides) under uncultured bacterium. RNAcentral describes it as "partial 16S ribosomal RNA". It matches the Rfam family "Bacterial small subunit ribosomal RNA", at positions 524 to 776 of the family's 1533-position model. The record is from RNAcentral.